This 253-nucleotide ribosomal RNA is filed under the name uncultured bacterium. RNAcentral describes it as "partial 16S ribosomal RNA". It matches the Rfam family "Bacterial small subunit ribosomal RNA", at positions 524 to 776 of the family's 1533-position model. The record is from RNAcentral.
UACGUAGGUGGCAAGCGUUGUCCGGAAUUAUUGGGCGUAAAGCGCGCGCAGGCGGUCUCUUAAGUCUGAUGUGAAAGCCCACGGCUCAACCGUGGAGGGUCAUUGGAAACUGGGGGACUUGAGUACAGAAGAGAAGAGUGGAAUUCCACGUGUAGCGGUGAAAUGCGUAGAGAUGUGGAGGAACACCAGUGGCGAAGGCGACUCUUUGGUCUGUAACUGACGCUGAGGCGCGAAAGCGUGGGGAGCAAACAGG